Molecule: long non-coding RNA, 948 nt
Organism: Rhopalosiphum padi (bird cherry-oat aphid)
Lineage: Eukaryota; Metazoa; Arthropoda; Insecta; Hemiptera; Aphididae
Exons: 5
Source: RefSeq, a predicted model, not a curated record
AGGGCCCAGUGGUAGGAUGUGAUGAUUGAUAACAUAAACAGUUUCAGCCAUGGGUUUCAGAUAAUCAGAUUCAAGCGUUUUAGGUCGGACGUGUGAUUAAUUAAUUGUUGGUAAAUAUGACAAAUAAUAUACUGGUCAAUUUGCUACUGACUAGCUUGUAGUUGAUAGUCAUCAAGGUCCAGUUUGAUAUCCUGAUAAUAAUAAUCUAGCAGUUCUGAAGAAAGUAUUAUAAAAAGGUUUAGAACAUUUCAGAUGGUGGAGUCAUACAGAACCAAUAAUUAAGUAAUAAUCUGGAGCAUUGAUGAUUACUAAACAUUUAUUAUUAUAAACAGCCAUUAUUGAUCUUUAUCCAGGUACAGAUUUUAGCGCUUUCUGGAUUUGUUAUGGAACUCAAUAAUUGACUACAUUUUAAGAUAAAAGCUGAUGAGUGAUGAACUUGCUGCACAUUAAGCGCAUAACCAGACAGCCGCCGAUUUUGCAUUUAGUUCAUUACACGCAGUCAGUUUCUGAUUGGUUUUCCAAAUUCUUAUCCACCGUCUACUAUGCCGUGUGGCACAGUUAAUUGAUUAUGAUGAUAUUAAAGUUGAAAAAAUGUUGGUUCAGAAUUUGGAUCAGGAGCAAUUAUACCAGUAUCAUCUGAAAAAGUGUGAAGAGGUGUGGUGCCGUUGAGUGGGAUAUCUAAAGUAUAAAUGCUAUACAUGCAAGGAUAUUUUUAGAAACUCCAUCAUUAAUAGGAUGGUAUUUUAAGAAGAUUUCUAAUCAGUAACUGGAUUGUAAAAUAUACUGGAUGAUUGGAAUUGGAUGCAUCAACAGUAACUAAUAUAAUAUAGUAAAGUUCUAGAAAUUAAUGAAACUGAAUUUAAUUUUAAAACAAACCAAAAUUUCUCAAGAGUAAAAUAAUUAUGUAUUUCAAUUUUACUUUUUGAAUAAAGAAUAAAAGUAAAUGAA